RNAcentral lists this long non-coding RNA (222 nucleotides) under Salvia miltiorrhiza (redroot sage). RNAcentral describes it as "long non-coding RNA (SMIL_LNC010176)". The record is from RNAcentral. Lineage: Eukaryota; Viridiplantae; Streptophyta; Magnoliopsida; Lamiales; Lamiaceae.
UCUGUUAUGAAAGUUUAGUGUGCAGAACUGACUUUAGAGGGAGGGGAGUCAAAGCAAGUGGAUAAACAUAGCUAAUGGAUAAGAUAUUUUGUGGAUAAUUAAGCAUGUGUUUUAUUUGAAAUACUUGGUGACUAAGUAAAAGGGGUUAAAUAAAACAUCUCCUUUCUCUUUCAUCCCUCAUAGCAGACGUCCCUUUCCUCUCUCUUCUCUGUCAACUUUUCU